CCUACAGACCAUGGCUGACCUUGGGCAGCUGAAACUGGAGAAAGCAAAAACGCACAACUAAGGAGGAAGACGGUAAUUUCUCUUCCUUUCCAGGCUGUUGAAUGACAUCCGGAUUGAUGCGAUUUGGUACCAAAGUCUCCCAAAACAAAGCCUGAAGUGCACUCAGGCCGCUGACGCUGAUGGGGCUGCAGAAUUCUCUGCGUCAAAUUAACACAAAGAGGAAGCAAGGGUGAGAGUGGACUCCAGAACUCAGAGCCCCAUCACCCUACUUAACUGCACUGUGUCACUGUGGACCAUUUGCAGGAAAUCGCCUUUCCUUUGGCGCCCAGUGUAGGGAGCAAGAGUGAGGGAGAGGAAGAGAUUUAAGGAGAAAUUACAGCAAGCUGGCAGGUAGCGGGCAGAGGAUCAAUCCAGUUUGUCACAUUAAGGAUUGUAAAGAAUCCAUCUCAGAGUGACACUGAUGAUUCAGGGUAUUAAGUUCAGGUCGCAGUACGGCAAAUGGCAGUGGUAAAGCCCAGAAGGGAAUUCAAGCCUGGAGAAUGCUGGAAGAAAGGAAGACAAGACCCAGCAUAACAGCCGGUUCUGAAAAGCUAUGUCUGCCAGGGAAUCGAAGUCUUCCCUUCGCCCUUGCACUCACCUUGUCUCCUUGACUGCAGUGUCCACGACGCUCGGUUGUUGAGAGCUGUGCACGGCUGGCCUUUCCAGACGUCAGGAACUGGAUGCUAAGAGAGUUAACUGUUGUGCAUGCAUGUCUCUGUGCUGGGCAUAAAGGAGUCACUGGUGUGACUCCAGCUAAUGCAAACCACCUCCCAUCCACCAUUACUGCCAGCUUCUUGAGAGACAAUGGUUUACCCCCAGCAGCCCCACAGAGGGGUGUAUCCUAAGACCUUGGCCAAUUCCUUUGAUGGUGUCUAUCUACCACGUAACUGCUAGGUGACAAUUCCUCUUUGUUCUUCAUUGCUCUUAAUUAGAGGGUAUAUAUUGACUUGUGUA
Molecule: long non-coding RNA, 993 nt
Organism: Hyaena hyaena (striped hyena)
Lineage: Eukaryota; Metazoa; Chordata; Mammalia; Carnivora; Hyaenidae
Exons: 2
Source: RefSeq, a predicted model, not a curated record